This 253-nucleotide ribosomal RNA is filed under the name uncultured bacterium. RNAcentral describes it as "partial 16S ribosomal RNA". It matches the Rfam family "Bacterial small subunit ribosomal RNA", at positions 524 to 776 of the family's 1533-position model. The record is from RNAcentral.
UACGUAGGGGGCAAGCGUUGUUCGGAAUUACUGGGCGUAAAGGGCGCGUAGGCGGCAGGCCAAGUCGGGAGUGAAAGCCCGGGGCUCAACCCCGGAAUGUCUUUCGAAACUGGCCAGCUCGAGUGCGGAAGAGGCAACUGGAAUUCCCAGUGUAGCGGUGAAAUGCGUAGAUAUUGGGAAGAACACCUGAGGCGAAGGCGGGUUGCUGGGCCGACACUGACGCUGAGGCGCGAAAGCCAGGGGAGCAAACGGG